GAUGAACGCUGGCGGCGUGCCUAAUACAUGCCAGUCGAGCGAACAGACGAGGAGCUUGCUCCUCUGACGUUAGCGGCGGACGGGUGAGUAACACGUGGAUACCCUACCUAUAAGACUGGGAUAACUUCGGGAAACCGGAGCUAAUACCGGAUAAUAUAUUGAACCGCAUGGUUCAAUAGUGAAAGACGGUUUUGCUGUCACUUAUAGAUGGAUCCGCGCCGCAUUAGCUAGUUGGUAAGGUAACGGCUUACCAAGGCAACGAUGCGUAGCCGACCUGAGAGGGUGAUCGGCCACACUGGAACUGAGACACGGUCCAGACUCCUACGGGAGGCAGCAGUAGGGAAUCUUCCGCAAUGGGCGAAAGCCUGACGGAGCAACGCCGCGUGAGUGAUGAAGGUCUUCGGAUCGUAAAACUCUGUUAUUAGGGAAGAACAAAUGUGUAAGUAACUAUGCACGUCUUGACGGUACCUAAUCAGAAAGCCACGGCUAACUACGUG
This 497-nucleotide ribosomal RNA is filed under the name uncultured bacterium. RNAcentral's name for it is "partial 16S ribosomal RNA". It matches the Rfam family "Bacterial small subunit ribosomal RNA", at positions 28 to 507 of the family's 1533-position model. The record is from RNAcentral.